This 495-nucleotide ribosomal RNA is filed under the name uncultured bacterium. Its description in RNAcentral is "partial 16S ribosomal RNA". It matches the Rfam family "Bacterial small subunit ribosomal RNA", at positions 28 to 507 of the family's 1533-position model. The record is from RNAcentral.
GACGAACGCUGGCGGCGUGCCUAAUACAUGCAAGUAGAACGCUGAAGGAGGAGCUUGCUUCUCUGGAUGAGUUGCGAACGGGUGAGUAACGCGUAGGUAACCUGCCUGGUAGCGGGGGAUAACUAUUGGAAACGAUAGCUAAUACCGCAUAAUAGUAGAUGUUGCAUGACAUUUACUUAAAAGGUGCAAUUGCAUCACUACCAGAUGGACCUGCGUUGUAUUAGCUAGUUGGUGGGGUAACGGCUCACCAAGGCGACGAUACAUAGCCGACCUGAGAGGGGGAUCGGCCACACUGGGACUGAGACACGGCCCAGACUCCUACGGGAGGCAGCAGUAGGGAAUCUUCGGCAAUGGACGAAAGUCUGACCGAGCAACGCCGCGUGAGUGAAGAAGGUUUUCGGAUCGUAAAGCUCUGUUGUAAGAGAAGAACGAGUGUGAGAGUGGAAAGUUCACACUGUGACGGUAUCUUACCAGAAAGAGACGGCUAACUACGUG